Molecule: ribosomal RNA, 253 nt
Filed under: uncultured bacterium
Lineage: Bacteria
Description: partial 16S ribosomal RNA
Rfam family: Bacterial small subunit ribosomal RNA
Source: RNAcentral
GACGUAGGGCGCGAGCGUUGUCCGGAUUUAUUGGGCGUAAAGAGCUCGUAGGCGGCUCAUUGCGUCAACCGUGAAAACUUGUGGCUCAACUACAAGCUUGCGGUUGAUACGGGUGGGCUGGAGUUCGGUAGGGGAGACUGGAAUUCCUGGUGUAGCGGUGAAAUGCGCAGAUAUCGGGAGGAACACCAGUGGCGAAGGCGGCACUCUGGGCCGGAACUGACGCUGAGGAGCGAAAGCGUGGGGAGCGAACAGG